This is a non-coding RNA of Schizosaccharomyces pombe (fission yeast), 1004 nucleotides long. The record is from the annotation of a GenBank genome assembly. NCBI's taxonomy places the organism in Eukaryota, Fungi, Ascomycota, Schizosaccharomycetes, Schizosaccharomycetales, Schizosaccharomycetaceae.
AUUUAUUUUUUUUUUGAGUAAUAAUCUCAUCCGCUUGUUUUCGGUUCUAAAAGUUGCUUAAGAAGCCGUCUAUUCCAUAAUCAACAGCGAUAACCGCACCAAAAUACCCAUAUCGUCCUCGUUUCCUCUCUCAUCUUUUUCACAUUUUCACAUUAGAAAAGCAUAUGUUUGGCAUUGGAAUUACAAAACUUCUCCAUCUCCUUGCUUUCCAUUCAAUUUAUUGUUGAUUCCUUCCUUUCCAUGCAAAACGCCGACCUUGCCGCUUGCCGCAUGCCACUACACUGCGCAGUACUGCACUGACGUACAAGGGACAAUCCGGAAUCCGGAAUACAGAAUACCAGCGCGCCACGCGUUACAAGGAUAUUGUCCAAUGCACUCUAGGUUUUUUGAUCCAGCACACAGAGAAAGAGAGAGUUAAUGGUAAUAUAUAUCGCAAUGCUGGAAACAGUUCCGUAUUAGGCGCAAGCAUACCCGAUGCUUGAAUAAAAUCCUAGCAACUGAUCUUCCAGUGAAACAUGAUCGACGACCUAUAAGUUGCUCGUUAAUUUCAUCAAUUCUCAUGCAAUUCCCUUUCCACAUUUCCAUCCUUACUCCUAAUACUAAGACCCCAUCAACGUUUACUAUGUUUACGCCUCUUAACGAAAGGUAACGAAUUGCGCCUUUCUCUCUGUCUAUUGUCAGAGAUCAAAUUCCCUAGGCAAUCGAGCCCCUAAUGCGAUUUUUCUAGAUGGACAUUAUGACCAGAUAUGGUACUUGAUAAUUAGGUUGUUUAUCCCCUGAGGGCCUAAGGGAUCAGUUCAAAUGAGACGUGAUGAUUGGUUCGAUUAAUACAUCUCUAUCUGGCUCUGCGCGCUUAAUUACAUCAUUUUCAAUUAGUCGGGACAUCGCAAUAAUGUCUGGAGAGAGCGAUACGGCAUGGCUGUGCCUCUUCAAAUUUCCUAUAAAUGGCAAGGGAAGCUCUCCUUGGAUCCUCAUAGACAUAUCGCUAUCCAUCAAUUUCUUUU